GACGAACGCUGGCGGCGUGCUUAACACAUGCAAGUCGAACGAAGAGCGAUGGAAGCUUGCUUCUAUCAAUCUUAGUGGCGAACGGGUGAGUAACGCGUAAUCAACCUGCCCUUCAGAGGGGGACAACAGUUGGAAACGACUGCUAAUACCGCAUACGAUCUAAUCUCGGCAUCGAGGAUAGAUGAAAGGUGGCCUCUACAUGUAAGCUAUCACUGAAGGAGGGGAUUGCGUCUGAUUAGCUAGUUGGAGGGGUAACGGCCCACCAAGGCGAUGAUCAGUAGCCGGUCUGAGAGGAUGAACGGCCACAUUGGGACUGAGACACGGCCCAGACUCCUACGGGAGGCAGCAGUGGGGAAUCUUCCGCAAUGGACGAAAGUCUGACGGGAGCAACGCCGCGUGAGUGAUGACGGCCCUUCGGGGUGUAAAAGCUCU
This 432-nucleotide ribosomal RNA is filed under the name Veillonella parvula. RNAcentral describes it as "bacterial SSU rRNA". It matches the Rfam family "Bacterial small subunit ribosomal RNA", at positions 28 to 434 of the family's 1533-position model. The record is from RNAcentral. Lineage: Bacteria; Bacillati; Bacillota; Negativicutes; Veillonellales; Veillonellaceae.